Molecule: non-coding RNA, 145 nt
Organism: Momordica charantia (bitter melon)
Lineage: Eukaryota; Viridiplantae; Streptophyta; Magnoliopsida; Cucurbitales; Cucurbitaceae
Source: RefSeq, a predicted model, not a curated record
GGACUCUCUAAGAAGUGAGAUUGAAGAAAAUUAUAAGGGAAUCAUAAACACAUUAUUGAAAAUGUGGCAAGCCAAACAUUCUACUCAACAAUCUCGCAGUACUACAAUUUGGAAACCUGUGAAGUGUCCUCGACAACUAGGUUCU